Molecule: transfer RNA, 76 nt
Filed under: Candidatus Woesebacteria bacterium RBG_13_34_9
Lineage: Bacteria; Candidatus Woeseibacteriota
Description: tRNA-Phe
Rfam family: tRNA
About the family: Transfer RNA (tRNA) molecules are approximately 80 nucleotides in length. Their secondary structure includes four short double-helical elements and three loops (D, anti-codon, and T loops).
Source: RNAcentral
GCCGAGAUAGCCAAGGUGGUCACGGCGGGCGCCUGAAGAGCGUCAGAUGCGGGUUCGACUCCUGCUCUCGGCACAA